Aegilops tauschii subsp. strangulata is the source of this 1009-nucleotide long non-coding RNA. RefSeq lists it as uncharacterized. NCBI's taxonomy places the organism in Eukaryota, Viridiplantae, Streptophyta, Magnoliopsida, Poales, Poaceae. The record is from RefSeq and is a predicted model, not a curated record.
UCCUCCCCCGCCGCCACUCACCAUCUUCCUCGGGAUCCAUCCCGAUCCACCUGCCUCCUCUCCCUGGAAUUCCCCGUCGGGCCAACCCUGGCCUCUCUUCGAUCCACCCAUCUAGCCAGCAACUCCACCCAUCCCAUCCAUCGAUCCAGCGCCGAUCCCUCGAUCCAGGCCCGAGGCUCCAAGCUCCCCUGCCUCCACGAACACGAGCGCCCGUGCCCCUGCCGUCCUAGCAGCAGCAGCAACAACCUCGCCGUCGCCGCCUCAGAUGAGCCCCUGACCUUGCCUUCUCUUGCGCCUCCUCCUCCCCGUCAUGCUCCCCCGCUCUCUCUCUCAUGCCUCUGCCUCUCUCUCACAGGGAACCAUGUUGAGGCCAUGGAGAAAAUGCAACACCGCCGCCCUUGGGGUUCGUCGCUGACGGCCAUCCCCGUCGUCCGCCUCUGCGUCCCUGCUCCAGAUCGGCCGCCAACAGCCGCCUUCCUCCGCAGCAACCCAGCGCCGCCGCCCAUGGAGCUCCUGCCUCCACUGCCGUCCGUCCGCGCGGCCGCCCCACUUCAUCUCCGCCUUGAUCCGAUGCCGCCGGACCCGCUCUUUUCCUGGCCUCCUCACUGCCGAACCGCAACAGCAGCUUCCAUGGCCUUGUAGCUCGCCGCCGGCCUCCACAAGCCAAGCGCCACCGGAUCUGGAGGAUCCGGGCCUCCCUCACUUUCCCGUGUCUGUCCCCUGCCUCUCCGUCUCGCCGGAGUCCCGUGCGAGCCAUCGUCGCGAGCUCCAGCGCCGCUGCUCCUCUGUUUUCUGUCGAACAGAGGGCGACGCGCCCGUAGCCUCCCUGCCUCGCGCGUCUGGGCCAUUUCCAGCGCCAGCAAGGUCCAGCGCCCACCUCGGCCUUCCCUCCAGCCGGCCUGCAUGCGCCCCUCUUGGGCCUCCUCCAUCGACCGGGCCUCAGCCCAUGCUUCGGUUUCGUUCCGGGGUUGUGAGGAUUCGUUCGACUACAUCCGUUUGUCUUCUUCAU